AGUAACGGCGAGUGAAGCGGCAAUAGCUCAAAUUUGAAAGCUGGCGUCUUCGACGUCCGCGUUGUAAUUUGUAGAGGAUGCUUCGGCGAAGACUCCUGCCUAAGUCCCCUGGAACGGGGCGUCAUAGAGGGUGAGAAUCCCGUAUGUGGCGGGCAGUCUAAGCCAUGUGAAGCUCCUUCGACGAGUCGAGUUGUUUGGGAAUGCAGCUCUAAAUGGGAGGUAAAUUUCUUCUAAAGCUAAAUAUUGGCCAGAGACCGAUAGCGCACAAGUAGAGUGAUCGAAAGAUGAAAAGCACUUUGGAAAGAGAGUUAAAAAGUACGUGAAAUUGUUGAAAGGGAAGCGCUUGCAACCAGACUCGCUCGUAGUUGCUCAGCCGGCCUCUUGGCCGGUGUACUCUUCUACGAUCGGGCCAGCAUCAGUUCGGGCGGCAGGAUAAAGGUGUCGGGAAUGUAGCACCCUUCGGGGUGUGUUAUAGCCCGGCGCGGAAUGCUGCCAGCCUGGACUGAGGAUCUCGCUUCGGCAAGGAUGCUGGCGUAAUGGUUGUAAGCGGCCCGUCUUGAAACACGGACCAAGGAGUCUAACAUCUAUGCGAGUGUUUGGGUGUCAAACCCAUGCGCGUAAUGAAAGUGAACGGAGGUGGGAACCCCUCACGGGGUGCACCAUCGACCGAUCCUGAUGUCUUCGGAUGGAUUUGAGUAAGAGCAUAGCUGUUGGGACCCGAAAGAUGGUGAACUAUGCCUGAAUAGGGUGAAGCCAGAGGAAACUCUGGUGGAGGCUCGCAGCGGUUCUGACGUGCAAAUCGAUCGUCAAAUUUGGGUAU
Molecule: ribosomal RNA, 820 nt
Filed under: Phyllosticta capitalensis
Lineage: Eukaryota; Fungi; Ascomycota; Dothideomycetes; Botryosphaeriales; Phyllostictaceae
Description: partial 28S ribosomal RNA
Rfam family: Eukaryotic large subunit ribosomal RNA
Source: RNAcentral